AACUCUAUCCACCUAGGCUUGGAUAGAUGGGAAGAAUCACCUAGUGUUUUUGCCUCUGUUGAGAUUUGAACCUGAGACCUCAAGGUCCUCCCCACUUUAUUGACCACUAGGUCACACCCUCGGGUGCAGGUUCGAGAAGAUUAAAAGGAAGCUACUUUGGAUCUCAACCCACUCUCAAACCAAAGUGGAUUCUUGCCUCCUCACCACCUCAACAUUUGGCUUUUCGUCCUGAAAAUACAGAUUCUAAGUCCAACUGCUUAAAAAAGCUACAUGCCUCAGCUCAUUUUCUCUGCACUAUAGAUACUAGGUUCGUUUUUCAUGUUAGUUUUAAGAUCUCUUAAUAUAACAAUGGACAAAGAUAUCUAUAAAUCUGGAAGUAUAAGCAACAGAAUUAUUUUUAAGCUUCAUAUAUUGAAACUUCCAAAAGGUCGGAAAUUCCUCAAAUGUCAUAAGUGAAACUGUAAAACAAAAGCAAAUUAAUCCCUUUCAUGGUGACUUCUACCUGAUCAUAAAUUUCCUCAAACAGAGAGUUUUCGUUAUUUUUAGGAAAAAAUGAGAGCUCAUCUAACCUUCAGCCAGCUAUAUUGGUCAGAGUAUU
This 598-nucleotide long non-coding RNA is filed under the name Nicotiana benthamiana. RNAcentral describes it as "long non-coding RNA (NBEN_LNC002415)". Lineage: Eukaryota; Viridiplantae; Streptophyta; Magnoliopsida; Solanales; Solanaceae. The record is from RNAcentral.